UACGUAGGGUGCAAGCGUUAUUCGGAAUUACUGGGCGUAAAGCGUGCGCAGGCGGUUAUGCAAGACAGAGGUGAAAUCCCCGGGCUCAACCUGGGAACUGCAUUUGUGACUGCAUAGCUAGAGUACGGUAGAGGGGGAUGGAAUUCCGCGUGUAGCAGUGAAAUGCGUAGAUAUGCGGAGGAACACCGAUGGCGAAGGCAAUCCCCUGGACCUGUACUGACGCUCAUGCACGAAAGCGUGGGGAGCAAACAGG
Molecule: ribosomal RNA, 253 nt
Filed under: uncultured bacterium
Lineage: Bacteria
Description: partial 16S ribosomal RNA
Rfam family: Bacterial small subunit ribosomal RNA
Source: RNAcentral